UGAGAGGAGUUGGGAGCAGAAUGAGGAGCUUGGCUUGAAUGACAUGGACACUUCCUCUGCAGACAUUGCUUAUAAUACGACCAGCAUAGAAUAAGUUUUCAUCUUUUGUUAGCUGCUAUAAGAAGUAGACCACCUCGGCCGAAAUCUUCAUCAGCACAAUUGUCGAUUUAACUAAUGUGGCCGCCGAGUUUGUCGGUGAAACUGAUGAAUCCGCCGAUUUUGCCGGAGAAAGAAGUGCAGACUUGGUCGGAGAUAGAAGAUCAUCCAUCCAGUGCUCCAAUGCCUCCGACUUUGUCAGAGGUAUGUAUCCCACUCAUGUUCGAUUUUUGUUUUAGAAGUUCAUCUCUGAAUUAGAAGGGCCUGAAGUAUGAU
This 372-nucleotide long non-coding RNA is filed under the name Hordeum vulgare. RNAcentral's name for it is "long non-coding RNA (HVUL_LNC006355)". The record is from RNAcentral. Lineage: Eukaryota; Viridiplantae; Streptophyta; Magnoliopsida; Poales; Poaceae.